CGCCUUCUUGGUCAUUUAGAGGAAGUAAAGUCGUAACAAGGUUUCCGUAGGUGAACCUGCGGAAGGAUCAUUAACGUAUCUCUGACGGCGAGGGUGCGCCCAGCUCCAUCCGAAAGGACGUGCAGCGGGCGAGCCCGAGCCGCUCAACCUUUGCAAACCCACCGUGCACUUUUGUCGGCAGAGGGCCCCUGUGGUCCCGAGCCGGAUCACAAACUCCAAGUUUGAUUUGAAUGUGAAGCGGACAUGUGCCGCCUAAACUUUAACAACUUUCAACAACGGAUCUCUUGGCUCUCGCAUCGAUGAAGAACGCAGCGAAAUGCGAUAAGUAAUGUGAAUUGCAGAAUUCAGUGAAUCAUCGAAUCUUUGAACGCACCUUGCGCUCCUUGGUAUUCCGAGGAGCAUGCCUGUUUGAGUGUCUUGAAGUCAUCAACCCCUCCCGUUUUUGUGCGAGAGGAAGGUUGGAGAUGGGGGCCUGCGACCGUGAGGCCGCUCCCCUCAAAUGCUUCGGUUGGGCCUGUGGGUCGAACUCGGUUGGGCGUUGUAUCAUCCUCGCUCUUUGUCUGAGAAGUUCCCCUUUGAUUGAGCCCUCCCACGACUGCCUUUCCAGAGGUGGUCAAUCUAAUUUGAAAUCUGACCUCAAAUCAGGUAGGACUACCCGCUGAACUUAAGCAUAUCAAUAAGCGGAGGAAG
RNAcentral lists this ribosomal RNA (690 nucleotides) under uncultured fungus. RNAcentral's name for it is "eukaryotic LSU rRNA". The stretch from base 265 to 418 matches the Rfam family "5.8S ribosomal RNA". The record is from RNAcentral. Lineage: Eukaryota; Fungi.